CAUGCCGUAAACGUUGGGUGCUAGACGUGGGGGCCUUUCCACGGUUUCCGUGUCGUAGCUAACGCAUUAAGCACUCCGCCUGGGGAGUACGACCGCAAGGUUGAAACUCAAAGGAAUUGACGGGGGCCCGCACAAGCGGUGGAGCAUGUGGUUUAAUUCGAAGCAACGCGAAGAACCUUACCAGGUCUUGACAUCCCAGUGACCACUCUAGAGAUAGAGUUUUCCCUUCGGGGACAUUGGUGACAGGUGG
This 250-nucleotide ribosomal RNA is filed under the name uncultured bacterium. Its description in RNAcentral is "partial 16S ribosomal RNA". It matches the Rfam family "Bacterial small subunit ribosomal RNA", at positions 796 to 1041 of the family's 1533-position model. The record is from RNAcentral.